AUUGAACGCUGGCGGAAUGCUUUACACAUGCAAGUCGAACGGUAGAGGGGGCAACCCCUCGAGAGUGGCGAACGGGUGAGUAAUAUAUCGGAACGUGCCCAGUCGUGGGGGAUAACGUAGCGAAAGUUACGCUAAUACCGCAUACGAUCUAAGGAUGAAAGCGGGGGAUCGCAAGACCUCGCGCGAUUGGAGCGGCCGAUAUCAGAUUAGGUUAGUUGGUGGGGUAAAGGCUCACCAAGCCAACGAUCUGUAGCUGGUCUGAGAGGACGACCAGCCACAUGGGAAGUGAGAACGGGUCCAGACUCCUACGGGGGGCAGCAGGGGGGAGUUUUGGACAAGGGCCGCAGGUCGGAUCGAGCCAUUCCGCGGGCGGGAUGAGGGCCCUCGGGUUGUAAACCGCUUUUGUAGGGAACAAAAAGGUCUCUCUUAAUACGGGGGGCUCAUGACGGUACCGUAAGAAUAAGCACCGGCUAACUACGGGCCAGCCGCCGCCGUAA
RNAcentral lists this ribosomal RNA (497 nucleotides) under uncultured bacterium. Its description in RNAcentral is "partial 16S ribosomal RNA". It matches the Rfam family "Bacterial small subunit ribosomal RNA", at positions 29 to 523 of the family's 1533-position model. The record is from RNAcentral.